ACGCUCGACACCUACGGGAGUCAGCAGUGAGGAAUAUUGGUCAAUGGGCGCUAGCCUGAACCAGCCAAGUAGCGUGAAGGAUGAAGGCUCUAUGGGUCGUAAACUUCUUUUAUAUAAGAAUAAAGUGCAGUAUGUAUACUGUUUUGUAUGUAUUAUAUGAAUAAGGAUCGGCUAACUCCGUACAGCAGCCGCGGUAAUCUGAGCGGGCUGGCAAGGC
This 217-nucleotide ribosomal RNA is filed under the name uncultured bacterium. RNAcentral describes it as "partial 16S ribosomal RNA". It matches the Rfam family "Bacterial small subunit ribosomal RNA", at positions 328 to 539 of the family's 1533-position model. The record is from RNAcentral.